RNAcentral lists this ribosomal RNA (2928 nucleotides) under Cronobacter sakazakii. Its description in RNAcentral is "bacterial LSU rRNA". It matches the Rfam family "Bacterial large subunit ribosomal RNA". The record is from RNAcentral. Lineage: Bacteria; Pseudomonadati; Pseudomonadota; Gammaproteobacteria; Enterobacterales; Enterobacteriaceae.
GGGUUGUGAGGUUAAGCGAACAAGCGUACACGGUGGAUGCCCUGGCAGUCAGAGGCGAUGAAGGACGUGCUAAUCUGCGAAAAGCGCCGGUAAGGUGAUAUGAACCGUUAUAACCGGCGAUGUCCGAAUGGGGAAACCCGGUGCACUUCGGUGCAUCAUCGUUAGCUGAAUACAUAGGCUAACGAGGCGAACCGGGGGAACUGAAACAUCUAAGUACCCCGAGGAAAAGAAAUCAACCGAGAUUCCCCCAGUAGCGGCGAGCGAACGGGGAACAGCCCAGAGCCUGAAUCAGCUUGUGUGUCAGUGGAACGGUCUGGAAAGGCCGGCGAUACAGGGUGACAGCCCCGUACACGAAGGCACACAGGCUGUGAGCUCGAUGAGUAGGGCGGGACACGUGAUAUCCUGUCUGAAGAUGGGGGGACCAUCCUCCAAGGCUAAAUACUCCUGACUGACCGAUAGUGAACCAGUACCGUGAGGGAAAGGCGAAAAGAACCCCGGCGAGGGGAGUGAAACAGAACCUGAAACCGUGUACGUACAAGCAGUGGGAGCCUUCGUAAGAGGGUGACUGCGUACCUUUUGUAUAAUGGGUCAGCGACUUAUAUUCUGUAGCAAGGUUAACCGUAUAGGGGAGCCGAAGGGAAACCGAGUCUUAAUUGGGCGUUAAGUUGCAGGGUAUAGACCCGAAACCCGGUGAUCUAGCCAUGGGCAGGUUGAAGGUUGGGUAACACUAACUGGAGGACCGAACCGACUAAUGUUGAAAAAUUAGCGGAUGACCUGUGGCUGGGGGUGAAAGGCCAAUCAAACCGGGAGAUAGCUGGUUCUCCCCGAAAGCUAUUUAGGUAGCGCCUCGUGAACUCAUCUCCGGGGGUAGAGCACUGUUUCGGCUAGGGGGCCAUCCCGGCUUACCAACCCGAUGCAAACUGCGAAUACCGGAGAAUGUUAUCACGGGAGACACACGGCGGGUGCUAACGUCCGUCGUGAAGAGGGAAACAACCCAGACCGCCAGCUAAGGUCCCAAAGUCAUGGUUAAGUGGGAAACGAUGUGGGAAGGCCCAGACAGCCAGGAUGUUGGCUUAGAAGCAGCCAUCAUUUAAAGAAAGCGUAAUAGCUCACUGGUCGAGUCGGCCUGCGCGGAAGAUGUAACGGGGCUAAACCAUGCACCGAAGCUGCGGCAGCGACGCUUAUGCGUUGUUGGGUAGGGGAGCGUUCUGUAAGCCUGUGAAGGUGUGCUGUGAGGCAUGCUGGAGGUAUCAGAAGUGCGAAUGCUGACAUAAGUAACGAUAAAGCGGGUGAAAAGCCCGCUCGCCGGAAGACCAAGGGUUCCUGUCCAACGUUAAUCGGGGCAGGGUGAGUCGACCCCUAAGGCGAGGCCGAAAGGCGUAGUCGAUGGGAAACAGGUUAAUAUUCCUGUACUUGGUGUUACUGCGAAGGGGGGACGGAGAAGGCUAUGUCGGCCGGGCGACGGUUGUCCCGGUUUAAGCGUGUAGGCUGACUUUCCAGGCAAAUCCGGAAGGUUAAGGCUGAGGCGUGAUGACGAGGCACCACGGUGCUGAAGUGACAAAUGCCCUGCUUCCAGGAAAAGCCUCUAAGCAUCAGGUAACAUCAAAUCGUACCCCAAACCGACACAGGUGGUCAGGUAGAGAAUACCAAGGCGCUUGAGAGAACUCGGGUGAAGGAACUAGGCAAAAUGGUGCCGUAACUUCGGGAGAAGGCACGCUGACAUGUAGGUGAAGCCCCUGCGGGUGGAGCUGAAGUCAGUCGAAGAUACCAGCUGGCUGCAACUGUUUAUUAAAAACACAGCACUGUGCAAACACGAAAGUGGACGUAUACGGUGUGACGCCUGCCCGGUGCCGGAAGGUUAAUUGAUGGGGUUAUCGCAAGAGAAGCUCCUGAUCGAAGCCCCGGUAAACGGCGGCCGUAACUAUAACGGUCCUAAGGUAGCGAAAUUCCUUGUCGGGUAAGUUCCGACCUGCACGAAUGGCGUAAUGAUGGCCAGGCUGUCUCCACCCGAGACUCAGUGAAAUUGAACUCGCUGUGAAGAUGCAGUGUACCCGCGGCAAGACGGAAAGACCCCGUGAACCUUUACUACAGCUUGACACUGAACAUUGAGCCUUGAUGUGUAGGAUAGGUGGGAGGCUUUGAAGCGUGGACGCCAGUCUGCGUGGAGCCGACCUUGAAAUACCACCCUUUAAUGUUUGAUGUUCUAACCUGGCGCCGUGAUCCGGCGUGGGGACAGUGUCUGGUGGGUAGUUUGACUGGGGCGGUCUCCUCCCAAAGUGUAACGGAGGAGCACGAAGGUCAGCUAAUCCUGGUCGGACAUCAGGAGGUUAGUGCAAUGGCAUAAGCUGGCUUGACUGCGAGAGUGACGGCUCGAGCAGGUGCGAAAGCAGGUCAUAGUGAUCCGGUGGUUCUGUAUGGAAGGGCCAUCGCUCAACGGAUAAAAGGUACUCCGGGGAUAACAGGCUGAUACCGCCCAAGAGUUCAUAUCGACGGCGGUGUUUGGCACCUCGAUGUCGGCUCAUCACAUCCUGGGGCUGAAGUAGGUCCCAAGGGUAUGGCUGUUCGCCAUUUAAAGUGGUACGCGAGCUGGGUUUAGAACGUCGUGAGACAGUUCGGUCCCUAUCUGCCGUGGGCGCUGGAGAAUUGAGGGGGGCUGCUCCCAGUACGAGAGGACCGGAGUGGACGCAUCACUGGUGUUCGGGUUGUCAUGCCAAUGGCACUGCCCGGUAGCUAAAUGCGGAAGAGAUAAGUGCUGAAAGCAUCUAAGCACGAAACUUGCCCCGAGAUGAGUUCUCCCUGAGACUGUAAGUCUCCUGAAGGAACGUUGAAGACGACGACGUUGAUAGGCCGGGUGUGUAAGCGCAGCGAUGCGUUGAGCUAACCGGUACUAAUGAACCGUGAGGCUUAACCUUACAACGCCAAAGAAGU